UUUUUUUUUUUUUUUUUUUUUUUUUCCCAGGGCUCUUCCAUUUAUUUACUACACAGAAUUGUUGGGUUUUACUUUGCAGUUAUUUUGGUUUCACCUUUAUUUUUCUGCAUGAGGUACAACUUAAUCCCUGCUCCGGAGAAAGCAUUAGUUGCUUCCUCCAGUGUUUUUCAAGACUAUCAGAUCUCCAAGCAUGUCAGAAACAUUCAGAUGUCAAAUGGGGGGAAAAAGUACGUGCAAACCCUGCCAGAGUUUAGACAUGCAGCUGACUGCUACCACUUGAAGAAAAGCACAACUGAGAGCCAAACCUGGUUUGCUUCUUUUACCAUCUGCAGCACCAGGGAAGAUGGGAUAUUUUGCCCAUGGAACAUGCUUCCUGACAGUAGAAUAAGAGUCAAAAGGGAAAAUCUCAGGCUGGCAUUCCAGAUUCAGAAGUAAAGGCUGCUUUGGUGGACAGUGUUUUGGGUCCUCUACCAUGACCCAAAACCUGAUCUCUUUUGCCUUUCAAAUCUAAAAUACAGAGACACUAAAUCUUCUCAAAUAAAAUGCUUUUACCAGCAUAGUCACAGCAAUGCCCUCCACAACAGCUUCAGAGGAACCAAGGAGAUGCUGGCUGGAAGACAGUCCAGUCCCCAUUCACAGCAGGGCUACCAGUAAAGCCACAUCAAGUCAGUCACAGAUUUGUCUAUCGCAGCCCCAAAAACCUUCAAAACCCCUCUGGGUACCUUUACUAUGCAGUAUCUGUCUCCUUUUACCUUAGCUCCAACCUAAGCACACCAUGGUGCAGUCUGUGGGCAUCAGCCCAUGAUAUACUGGGGAGAGAUUUGCGUCCUGCAUCCUUUAUAACUAUUUUCCAAGUACUUGAGCACUUCACCGCUUUCUGCGUCAGUCAUGGCUGCCUCCUCUCUCUGUUAGCAGAUCUGUAUUUACCCUGAAUUUCUUUUAGCAGCUACCAUACCUGCAGGAUCCUUCUUUGUUACCCUUAAAAGCCUGCCUCAAGCCUUUGCUCCAACUGGGCUUUUGUCUUCUUGAUUUCAUCCUUAGGCACAUGGAGCAUGCUUUUAUACUCCCAUUGUCUGUCCCCACUUCCAUCAUCUUCGUGAUCCCAAGUCUCGUCCCAGUUGUCUUGAAAUACUGUUUUUCAGACACAUUCAGCCGGGGGCAGACAGCUGGUAUGAACAAUUACAGCCCAGUCACCAAACUGAGCAUCUUAUAAUGAGCAGGGUCAGGAAAUUUCAAUAAUUAGUAAGUCUACUCCUCCCACUUGUAAUUAUUUACUGUCAGCUAUUGCAGCCAACACUCACUAGGCUCCGACCAUAUAAUCCUUUUAAGCAACCCUGAAGUGUAUUUGUGUUAAAUAAAUACAGCACUGAUUUAUCCUAGCAAAUGAGUGUUAGUGCUUGCUCUAUUUAAUGUUGUUGUAUUAUCUUCCACUGUUUCUGCAGCCCUGGACAUUUUAAAUUUAUUUCUAAUAUCUAUAUCUUCUUUUCCCUCAGCCACACCUCAUUUUAUGCUUUCUAGUCUUUGCCAAGAUUUUUAUUACAUCUGAUGUCACUUUCCACUUUUUUCCAUUUCAUCUCAAGCUGUUCCCUGCUGCUCACCUGCUUCUCCCCUGCACCUCUCACACAAUCAGUUCCUAUCUUCAUAUUUCUUCUCAGACACAGCUCUUCUGGCUUGACACAAGCUCUUGUUCAUAUAAUUUUAUUCCAGAGCAAUCCAGUGUCACACAUUAUCUUCCCUCCUGCUGUGGGGAGAGGCAAAGCUCAAGCACAGUGUUUCCCUAGGACUCAUUUGCUCUCCCCUUUGUCCUCUGUGCUAACCUCAUCCCUGACCCUUAUGGCUGGCAGCUGUCCUGGGCAGCCUCUGUUUUGCGGUCCAGACCCAGGUGCAGAGAUGUCCUCAGUCCAUCCACAGAGCCAAUAACCUUUUCUGACUCUGGUAGAGCUAUUCCUGCCCCUUGGCUUCAGUGGACAGAGAGGAGAUGCUCUAAACAGGGCUGUUCCUGCAUCCAGGUCUCAGCUGGGUGUUGAGUUUGUUUGGCUUUUUCCUCCUUCCCUUCAGGGACCCAAGAUCACUGUUUUACAUUCUACAGAAGUCAUUGGCCUUUCUUGGAAGAUUGAGGUCAGUAAGUCAUACCCACUCCUCCCACCCAGGUGCCGUAAAGCCGCACAGACAGCUGCCCCUUACUGUUUCUGGAUGCCACCAGCAACAGUGGGAGGGGCACUAUGCUGAGCUCCUGUGGCAGCAGCCAGGAAGAAUACCAUACCCAGCAAACUUGGAGGCAAAGCCCCCUGCCCUGUACUUUCUGCAUUAUCUUGGGCAAGUCCAGUUGCUCCACAACCCCUGCUGAGAACAGAGCUUUCCUGAAUCUACUUAGUCUCACACUGGCCUAUGAGGUACCCUGAGACUAUACAGAGCAUCAUGAAUAUUGAUAAGAUAAAUAAAAAGAAAUUUGGAAUAAGAAAUCAAGAAAGCUGCCAGAGAAUGUUUUCUAUUUUCUUUGCCUGGGGGAAGCAUGAUCACUAUCCAUUCGCUUUGGCAACAUCCACCCACGCAGAAGGGAAAAUAGAGGGAAGCUGGCAGAGCGAGAGCUCCAGCGUAGGUCUACAAGGACAUACCACAGCGAGAUUUGCCCACAGCAGAUGCACCUUUAUAAAGGAAAGUGCCUGGUCCCCAUUGUGGCUGACCAAAAGAUAGACCCAGGAGCUGCCAAGCAGCUGAAUCUACAGGAUCAUCAUUCUAAGAGCACCAUCCAGUUAACUGAGCAGUCACCCCCACAUAAAAAUCCAGAUCAGCCAGAUGGUCUCUUGUCACUGUGCAGACCACUUGGUAUGAGGCAAAUGGCCUUUGCAUGCUUAUCUUCUGAAGUGUUGCCUAAUUUGUUUUAACUGUUUAAAAAUUGAGUGCAUCAUCAACACUUAAGCUACUCCUGCUUGUUUGCUUCGUUCUGUUAGUAAGUAUUAAAUAUUUAAAAAGUUCUUACAAGGUACCUUCUAACAGCAGGUUCAGCUGUUGCUGUGCUGCACAUAAAUAAUUUAAACCCCUGUGGAAUAAAAAUGAAGCCUGGAAUGGUGCAGUGGUAUAACCUUUAUAUUACACCUCUGUAUGCUGGCAGAUGGGAGACUACAGCAAGGGGCUUCAGAGGCUGCGGCAAGACUGGUCAACAUGUAAGGACUUUUGUGCUCCCACUUCCUGUCCCUGAGACCCCCAAAAUGAGCUGCCUCCUUUCCCCUUCAUCUCUCCCCCUUCCCUAUUUGCUCCACGCACCUGGGAAGGCUGCUUGUCACUACAGGAACACAGCAGAAGUCAGCAGUCCUGCUGCCUCCAGGUAAGUGAUGCUUUAUCACUGCACCAGCAGGCUGACAGGCAAGGGGUGUGCUGGGAUCUCCCUAUGCAUGGAAGGGAUAAGAAACAGUGUUACUGCAGAGGACAAGCUAUGCUUUGGCUUUCCCCAAAAAAGCACUUUCUUUCAGAGGGACUCGCGCAAAUGUUUCAGCUUUUAUUGCCUUGCCUGCUCUUCCAGUAGCUCUCCUUUCGGGAGCAUCCUCCUGUUGGUAACUAUCACCAGAGCCUUUGCAAGGGAACCAGAUUUCCCAGACAGCUUUGCCAGCAGAGCAGAGCCUCCACCAAGCCCCACAGCAGCACAGCAUGCCUCCCUGCAAGCCUCCACUGGGGACCAGGACAGGCGUGCAAAAAGCAACUUUGUACCUCUAAUUUGACCCAUCAUCUUGCCUGAACUUGUUCCAUGGUGUUUUCACAGACAAGCUGACUAGGAAAGCACUGAGCCAUCAAGGCAAAAGAAUUCACUGAAGUUAUUUUGUGUAUCCACAACUAAGGUGGAGGGUGCUGGGACUCUGUAAAUACAGCUCAGAGUAUUUGAACAAGACAACAAAUUGAAUUUUGUCAAAUUCAAGUUUCUGGCUACAAGCUUAUCUUUUUUAUGUGCAAGUGCUUAAGACCAUAGUGAGGGGAAGGGAAGCAAACAAAAAGCAAGUAAAUUAAUACAGAUUUAAGUGCAAACACCAACUUUGCCUGAAAUAACCUGGCAUUGGGAGGCACUGCUGGGUAACAGUACUACAGACAACGCAGGCAGAACUUUAAAAAUAGUAACAUGGGAAUUAUUAGCACACCAGCUUGCUAUUCCCCUGCAGCUCCGUAACUUGAGAGGGCUCUGCUUCUGUUAAGCAAAACGCAAGGCACAUCCCGUGGGUAGCAUUAGCCUUGUGAGUACAGCACUUCCCACACUGUUAAAAAUAACCUUUCUUGUCUCUAUGCACCGGACUUUGGGGGUUGGUUUUGCUUUCUGCUUUACCAUAUCAAUAUAAUUUCCAGGCAAGCUAAGAAAAUCAACUUUAUCAAGGUGAAAGUGAGGUGUCCUGUGAUGGGAGUUAGGUGACUUAGACAUCCUGUUUAUCAGAUGCACUCAAUCAAGACCGUGAAGUGUUUCAUGCCACCAGAAUGCUUUGUGACCUCAGCUGCCUUUAUCCUGGCAAUAUUCCUGUGACAAAACCAGACCAUUAGUGCAAGGGGAAGUUGAUGCCCAGAAGCCCCUGUCAUAAGGCCACACAGAAGAUUGCUGGCACAAGAGCAAGCCUAAAUUACAGUUUGAGGAGAUAAUAUUCUUUAUCAACUGCAUUUUUUUUCUUUAUUGCAGCCAAAGCUCAUUUAUAUUGGGAGUUCCUCCCUGCCAAAGGGGAAAUCCCCAGAACACCACCGAGGUGAAUCAGAGCAGUAGUAGCUUGCUCAAAAGCUAAGAGUAGUAGUAAUUGCUCACAGGAGGAUGCUGUGCAGCUGCUUGGCUGUAAGCACCAACCCUCAGCUCAGAUGGAGACCUGCACAUCUUCCUUGCAGUGUUGCACAGCACUGAGAUGCUACAGCUGAACAGAGCCCUGGGGACAGGAGGGGCGUGAGGCAGGAGGCAGUCCAGUCACCCUCCCCUGUGGGCAAAGAAGAGCUGCCAAAGCAGGAGGGGUCAGGGUAUGGGUGAGGAAUGGCAAGGACAGCCACCAGAGCUUGAAUGCUAAAGGGACAAACAGUGGAGUGUCCCAUGGGAGCAAGCACAGCUAGGAGCAAUCUGGGACUUUCUCUGUAACAGGUCAGGAAUAUUUUAUUUUACUUUUCUACUGAGCUGGAUCAAGCUGUGGUCCAGUGCAUGCUACCAAAAUCUGAAAGCAAGUACGUCAAGGCAGCGUUACCUAAACACAGCAGCCAGUUAAACUAAAGAGCAAUACAUGAAUCUAAAAUCAGACAAAGCACUGAAGAAACCUCACAUAUGCUACUUUCUUCCCUAAGUAUCUAUAGGGUUUUAAUAGUGCAUUUGAAUAAUCCAGUUCUUUUCAGGCUACUCACUGGGCUAGAAACAUUGCAGUCAGUCACUCAGGUCUCUUCUUACCCACCAGCUGGGUCAGAAAGAGCUCCACAAGGUUUUCUGCCAUCUCCCAGGCAAAACCAGUGAGGCUACAAAACCAAGAGAUAAUGGCUUCAUACAAAACCCUUUAACAACACUCAGGGUCCAACGUUUCUUAUUUCAUUCAAGUCCAUUAAAGCCAGCUCACACAGCAACUCAUCUAUUGCAUUGUCAGCAAACACUGUUUGAAGCUGACCUUCACUCAGACCACAGCAUCCCGAGAUCCGAUAACAACUCCGCUUCCUCCAAGCCUGUCCUGAGCUCAGAAAUUCACCAUUUGGCUUGAGGAUUUCAAGCUCUGUUUGCUGACAGCAAACAUUGCAUACCUGAGCCUGACUAUUCUUAGCUAGUUACUAGCAACUGCCUUUGCUUGGUUCAUUGAUUUAUUCUCUUCCUUAGGCUGCUCCAGAUGACCUUGCUCUGCUCCACACACCAGGAGGACCAUCCUCUGCAGCAAAAAAUAUUCCUAUGUCCUGAACUGAGGCAGGCAACCACAUCAAAACACCUCUCCCCACUUCAAAUAGCAGAAAGUGCUGCACAUACACCAGGGACAAAGGAGGAGGCAGUGGUCAGUGUAAAAGGAGUAUUUCCCAUAAUGCUACCUUCUGAAUUUUUAAGGGUUCUUGGGGUAACAGAAGCUUGUUUGAGAGGAUUUUUUUUUUUUAAAUUUAACCCAAGAUUGUUACAGGAGAAAAAUAUUUUAGCCUGCCCUAAAAAUGAGAUGCCAGCAUUAUCCUGUCAGAAUAUGGCAGUUUAUUUAACUAUAAUGCCUAUAUUCUUUUUUUUUUUCUCUCUUAAUGCUAUAGCACCAAGAAGUCACAGACCUUCUUACCUAGGUAUAUACUAUUUGUUCAUCCAUCAAUAUUCCAAACAUUUUCAAGAAUGGCCAGCAUGCUGGGAACCUCAAAUUUAUGUUGCUCCAGGUGUGAAACAUUGUGAAGAGCAUUAUUCUAACAAUAAAGGUGCAUUUAAAGUGUCCCAUGUGGAACACCAAUAAAUCAAGGCACUUCAAUCAGUAGUUUUUAUGAAUGCCUCAGCCUUUGGCCUUAACAAUGUUGCAGCAGAAUGAACAGUGUGUUUUGCUAGUAAGAGAAAAUCCUCAGUCUGCAUAAGCUUCAAAGCUCGACUAUUUAGACUACAAGAACCUUGUAUUUGCCCAUAGAGUAUUUCUCUAUGGCAUAAAAAAUCUCUAAUGUUCUGGAAGGAUAAAGAUUAUUUUCCCAUUAGCCAUAAUAAUCCUAUUUAAAACUUUGAAAUAUACCCAAACAACAACAGUGCCUCAGCACUGUUACAUCUGCCACAGCUCCUCCUUCACAAGUGAUCUUAUGCUAUACAGUUCAAUUUUGUCAGAGUUAUUUUAAAAACACUACAUUAUUUAGGACUCCUGCCAGUGAGUCAUAACUGAGAGAUGAUGGAGGAUGGAAAAAGAUAGAAAAAUGUGAGCAAAGCUUCUCAGCAUUAAUUUAGAUGUUUAAGCAGUAGGUGUUUUUAGGUGUUUACUUAAGCAGUAAAACCUCAUUAAUCCUCAGAAAUUAAAGAGAUCAGUGUGCUGUCUCUGAUGUCUUCAGCCUAGACAGGGCCUUUGCUACCAGGAGGCAGGUCCAGCUGGAAGGGAAAGAUGUUAGAAAGCCACUGAAUCAGCCAAGAGAUUCCCUGCAGAUUUGCUUCAUUUUUCUGAGUCACUGCCAGCUUCCUGUAGUUUCCCCCUGAAUGCUUUUGACAUAUCAGCUGCUCAAAGGACCAACACCACUCCUUUAAGGAACUAGAAAUCAGGGAAUAAGGAAGGAAAAAUACUGUGAGAAGCACUACCACUGAAGUUUACAAGGGGCACCAGGAUUUGCUUUCCUUCCUUCAAAGAGAUUGAUCACAACCUCUUUUGACAAUGAGAUCUAAUAUUACAUACAGGAGAGUUCACAUGCUUGUUUUCCUAAAGGCAGCAGACUUGUCUUACACAAAGCUUUUGGCACAUCAACUCCCCAGAUCUCUGUGAAGAGGAGAGGAAGAGCUGCUUCCUGCUCCUGACACUGCUGCUGACAGGCCCACCUGACAUCUGUAGGUGGGAGCAUCACCCGUGCCCAGGCUUUCAGCCAUGGGACUUGCUGACACCACUUUAGGUGUGAGCUUGUGAGAAUCUGUGUGUUUUAUCUGAGUCCCAGCUGGAGCCAGGAGGCAGGCUGUGCUCACUGGAGUCUCUCUCCCUAAAUGCUGAUGCACUUAGUGCACACCGUCAUGAUCCAUGUAGGGAUAAUGCAAGUAGUAGGAAACAACACACAGUUUCACAGCAGGGUAAAUGCAAAAUGCUGUCUUAUAUCCUCUUGUGGUAUACUUCUCCAAGAUCUGCAAGGCAGGAGACAGAUGACAAAAUGGCAGACAGUAAGAGAUUUUUAGGUUGGAACAGGAUAGAUAGGGCAGAAAUCUCAGUCUUGACCAGGUCAGCAGGCACCAGAAUAAUAGAUGAAUUAAAGAACUAAAUUCUGUUUAAUUAAUGCAAAUGAAUAGGGAGGAAAGUAUUUUGUGGUCUUUAAAUCAAAGAGCUCAAUCAUUUGCUAUGUCUAAGUAAAUAAUUUCAAGUCUUUCAUGAACUGCUGUGGCACUGACCUCUGGCUCAAC
Long non-coding RNA from Taeniopygia guttata (zebra finch), 8014 nucleotides. NCBI's taxonomy places the organism in Eukaryota, Metazoa, Chordata, Aves, Passeriformes, Estrildidae. The record is from Ensembl.